RNAcentral lists this long non-coding RNA (1750 nucleotides) under Delphinapterus leucas (beluga whale). Its description in RNAcentral is "lncRNA (ENSDLEG00000004284.1)". The record is from RNAcentral. Lineage: Eukaryota; Metazoa; Chordata; Mammalia; Artiodactyla; Monodontidae.
AACAGUCAAAGAAGAUAGCGUCAGCUCACAUGAAGGGCUGUGAUGCCAAUAAAGCAGAGUGUGGGGAGGGCCGGGGCCACAGUGGACAGGCUGGUCAGGGAGGGCCUGUCUGCCAAGGCGACUUUGAGCUGAGUGAUGAUGACAAGGCAGAGGGAACAGCAAGUGCAAAAGCCCUGAGGCCGGAAUGAAUUUGGCUUGUCUGAGUAACACCGGAGAGUCCUAUACUUGCCAAUAGCCUCAGGAGCUCCCCUAACCUCUCCGCCACGGCCACUCGGGCCCCUGCUGCCUCCGCCUCCCUACUGGUGCCCUAGUUCUCCCACCCUCUCCUUCUGUGCCCGUGUCCACCUGCAGGGGUGGGCAGAGAUGAGGAAGCUACAGCCUGGGCUCAGAAGGGCAGAAAUUUUUCCUCCAGGAGAGCCCUGUCAUAUAUGUCAAGGCAUCGAAAGACCCCAGAAAAACAGUGGUUUGAGGGUAGGCCACCUUGUCGUGGAGAAAGACCUGCCCUGGGAUCGUCAAUGGAGCCUUGGAGCUGGAGAAGAAUGGACACACUCCUGAGGGGAUGACCAGGGCUCAGCCACCUCUGGGUGCCCUCAGGCCAGAGGACAAAGGGGACACCCAGGCCCCAGAGUUGCACAAGAUAAACCUGGUGGUGUCAAAGGUAGCCUCAUCUGGGCCAUGCAGGCGGGCUGGCUGCCAGACUUUUGGGGCCUGAGGCUGCGAGAUUGACCUGGCACCCUACCAUUUCCUUGGCUAAAGACUGCCCUCUCCAAGAUCUCCCUUUAAAAUAGAAAAUUUCCAUGGAGAGAAAAAAAGAGAGAGAGAGAGAGAGAAAGAAAAUUUCCAUGGAGGGCAAAUAGGAAGUCUUUCAAACUUAAGUGUAAAUCAGUUGAUCAUCUAAACUUGUUUUGUAAUAACAUGACAAAUGAUGAUGGUCCCUUUUAAACUUUUACAUUUUGGCAUGAUAUUUCAGAAUACUCUGGGACCAUGAGACAAAAUUAAGUUGGACCACAUUCUUUAUAUCUUACUUUUAAAGAAAUAAUGUUAAUUUACAUUUUCCUAGUUGAAGAUAGUAAUUAGGUUUCUAAGUUGUAUACUGUGUUUAUUGGUGGCAGUGACACCAAAAAUAGAGGCAAUGGAUAGAAGUUUUUAAACUGGAAAGAAAACAUGAAUUACACUACGUUUUCAAAGUCUCUUGUAAUUAUUUAGGCUACAACAAAAUUUGAUUCACCUGUCUUAUUCCACUGCUAGUCUUUUAAAUAUGUCUUUAACACAGCGUACCCUUUAAUUCUUCAUUAAAAUGGAUGUAAGUGGAUGUUUCAAAGUCAUCUAAAAAAACAAAACAAAAACAAACAAAGAAACAAAAAACAGAACAGCAAGCUGUGUGUGCGCUGGUCUUUGGAGGGACCAAGGAUAAGGGGAACGAAACUAAACUAACAUUUAUUAAGUUCCUAGUGUGUGCCAAGCACUGUGCUACGUGUUUCAAUUUGGUUAUUCUGUGAACUGACAUCAUUUGGCUUCUUCUCUGACUAGUAUUUGCAAGGACUGGCUUCCCUGCUCUGUCCAAAUCUCUUAUCUUCUCUAUUAUCUAUUAAUAUCUGGUAAAAUAUUAUAGAUAUUAAUGUCUAAUAAUAAUAUAGAUAUAGAAUGUAGACAUUGAUCUAAGAUAGAUAUAUCUAAAACAGGUAUAAAUAUCUAAUAGUAAUCAAUAUAGACAUCUAAGAGUAAUAAAUAGUAAUAUCAAUUAAUAUUA